UUGCCGCCAUUACAACGUAAUCCACAUUGUCCUAUUAUUUGGCAUGUUGAUUGAAUUUUUCUGUCUUGACUGAUGUUCUCCUCCCUUGCUUAUUUUGUUAGAUCCUUCUGGCUAUUUCUAUUUUGUCUUUUGCAUCUAACCUUCUAUAUUUUAAAAACCCCUCCAUCAAAAUGAAUUACUUGAACAGGAUCUGCUCUGUAGGCUCCAAUUUCUUUUAGUCUUCUGUAGCUUGGCAUUCUUCUAUUGGAGAAGGAAAAACAAUCACCAGAAAGUAAACCAAAUUGUUCAUAACCAUUGACAACUACCUGAUUGUGCUAGCACUGUAUGUCUAUAACCAUAUGUAGCAUUGUAUGUCUAUAACCAUAUGCAGAGGGAUCAUUAUGUUGAAUUCCGGUCACGUAGUAAAAUAUGAAUUUUAAAAUUUUUUAACAUGCUAAUAAAAAAUUUUAACAAUUAAAACUGUCAAAUCAAAACUCAAAUCCUAGAAUCACCUUGUAGAUAUCGAACAAAACAAAAUCCAAACAUGCAAAGAGAUAGAAACUUAUACUUCUUCAAACGAACAGUAUGGUAAGAAAGUGGUCUCCACCAGACUCCAAACUAAAAGUCCUCCAAUGGUAAUCCACAGGGAAGAUGGUCAAAGUCCUUCCCAACCAGUGCACCACCAUAACUUUUUCUUCGUAAGAACACUGCCGGCUUCGUACUCGAAGAAUGAUCGCACCAAUACUCUAUUGCGUUCAAUUUUUUUACUAGAAUCAUAUCAAGAGAAUUCUCUCCAGAAGUUUCACAACCUAGGAUUUGAUUUUGUACUCCAACACUGAGAAAAAUCAAACUCUAGGACAAGCACACCUUACUUGCUAUUUUUCUCACCUCCCUUCUUUCUAUGUUUUUCACUCUAUUUUUUCUUAUCAUUUUUCUUGAUUUUUUUUAGAUUUUUUUCUUUCUUAUCACACGCCAAAGCUUUUGAUUUUUCAUCAAAAUCCAGUUCUUAUCUCAUAUGAGGCACCCCAUUUAAAUAGGUGAAGAGGGGAUGGCAAGGAGACCCAAGGGGCACCAACUCUUGGCGCUCCACUUCCUCAUGCAGAGAAUUAAUUCUUCGAUGAAUUAAGUGGCGUAGAAGAGAUUUCACAUAGAAGGACUCUUCCUCUUCUGUGCCUUAUAAUUCUCUUAUUUAUUUCUGAUGUGUGAUAAUUAAGGAAACAGUGGAAAUCAGUAAGAUAGUUAAAAGUCUUAAGGAAGGAUUCUUCCUCUUCUCAAUGCACAAAAGAGGGUGGUGGCAUUAUUUUUGACGUGAAACCAGAGUGGCAUGGAGGAGUCUUUCCACACUUAAAACUCUUCCAAGCUAGAUAGGAGUCUAAUUAAAAUAAAUCUAAUCCAAUCUGGUCAAAGGCAACAGGUUCAGUUUAGCUCAAACACUUUGAACUUAACCUAAUUAAAAAUUUGGAUUAACACAAUAUGCUAGCAAAUCAAAUUUAAGCCUUAAAAUUUAUAUUAAAUCUUAAUUAAAUUAGAUGAAGAUCAAAUUUCAAAUCGUGUGACCCAUUAGAUUCUAAAUCUAGCCAGCAGUGGAUACAGACUCUUGAUCUAAUCCUAAUCCGAUCAGAUUAUGUCAGCUCAAGAGUCCCAAUUAACUAAGACUCUUUCUAAUUAAUUUUUAAAUUAAACUCUUUCAAUUCUAAUGAGUCCACAAGUCAAGAUUGACAUCUAGUAAUAUGUCAUGACUAUCUGAAAGAGAUAGAAUUUGAUAAAAAUUAUCAAAAUACCCUUCAGUGGUAAGGUACCGUGCAAUUCAAUCCUGCAAUCAAACAACAUCCCAGAUAAUCUGUGGGCAUAGAAUCAUAUCAAACUUAAUUGCUUAUCUAAAUGUAUCUCAAUCAGAAGGUGAUGAUUCAGUUGAUGAUAAUUAAAAACUUCUUUCUAAUUAUCAUCUUGUUUUGGUCAAAGAGUUUCAGAAUCAUCAACCUAUAAGAUCACAUAGGAUGUUCGCUCCCUUUAUUAAGAGUGACUGAUCUUUUAUUGACUACUCACAACCUCCAUGCAUACUUCAUUACAUCCAAAA
Molecule: long non-coding RNA, 2056 nt
Filed under: Elaeis guineensis (African oil palm)
Lineage: Eukaryota; Viridiplantae; Streptophyta; Magnoliopsida; Arecales; Arecaceae
Description: long non-coding RNA (EGUI_LNC035027)
Source: RNAcentral